Molecule: ribosomal RNA, 253 nt
Filed under: uncultured bacterium
Lineage: Bacteria
Description: partial 16S ribosomal RNA
Rfam family: Bacterial small subunit ribosomal RNA
Source: RNAcentral
UACGUAGGGGGCAAGCGUUGUCCGGAUUUAUUGGGCGUAAAGCGCGCGUAGGCGGCGCGGUAUGUCGUGCGUGAAAUCUCCCGGCUUAACUAGGAGGGGCCGUGCGAAACUGCCGGGCUUGAGGUCGGAAGGGGAAAGUGGAAUUCCGGGUGUAGUGGUGGAAUACGUAGAUAUCCGGAGGAACACCAGCGGCGAAGGCGGCUUUCUGGUCCGAUACUGACGCUGAGGUGCGAAAGCGUGGGGAGCGAUCCGG